Molecule: ribosomal RNA, 253 nt
Filed under: uncultured bacterium
Lineage: Bacteria
Description: partial 16S ribosomal RNA
Rfam family: Bacterial small subunit ribosomal RNA
Source: RNAcentral
UACGUAGGGUGCAAGCGUUGUCCGGAAUUAUUGGGCGUAAAGAGCUCGUAGGCGGUUUGUCGCGUCUGCUGUGAAAACCCGAGGCUCAACCUCGGGCCUGCAUUGGGUACGGGCAGACUAGAGUGCGGUAGGGGAGAUUGGAAUUCCUGGUGUAGCGGUGGAAUGCGCAGAUAUCAGGAGGAACACCAAUGGCGAAGGCAGAUCUCUGGGCCGUAACUGACGCUGAGGAGCGAAAGCAUGGGGAGCGAACAGG